CAAGACGUAGCUUUAAUUAAAGCAUUCAGCUUACACCUGAAAGAUGCCUGCUAACACCAGACCGUCUUGA
RNAcentral lists this transfer RNA (70 nucleotides) under Struthidea cinerea. RNAcentral's name for it is "tRNA-Val". The record is from RNAcentral. Lineage: Eukaryota; Metazoa; Chordata; Aves; Passeriformes; Corcoracidae.